AAAACAACGCAAUAUCUAAGUAAGAUUGUAUAGU
RNAcentral lists this non-coding RNA (34 nucleotides) under Trypanosoma brucei brucei. Lineage: Eukaryota; Euglenozoa; Kinetoplastea; Trypanosomatida; Trypanosomatidae. The record is from RNAcentral.